AUUGAACGCUGGCGGCAGGCCUAACACAUGCAAGUCGAACGAGUGGCGGACGGGUGAGUGAUGUCUGGGACACUGCCUGAUGGAGGGGGAUAACUACUGGAAACGGUAGCUAAUAACGCCUACCAUCGGAUGUGCCGAGAUGGGAUUAGCUAGUUGGUGGGGUAAAGGCUCACCUAGGAGACGAUCCAUAGCUGGUCUGAGAGGAUGACCAGCCACACUGGAACUGAGAUACGGCCCAGACUCCUACCGGAGGCAGCAGUGGGGAAUAUUGUACAAUGGGCGCAGCCCUGAUGCAGCCAUGCCUCGUGUAUGAAGAAGGGCUUCGGGUUGUAAAGUACUUCCAGCUGAGAAGCUUUAUCCGCAGAAGAAGCACCGGCUAACUCCGUGCCAGCAGCCGCGGUAAUAC
RNAcentral lists this ribosomal RNA (406 nucleotides) under uncultured bacterium. Its description in RNAcentral is "partial 16S ribosomal RNA". It matches the Rfam family "Bacterial small subunit ribosomal RNA", at positions 30 to 526 of the family's 1533-position model. The record is from RNAcentral.